AACGGGAUUACUUUUGGGGGGAGGUAAUCAGUAAUUAGUAACUGAUUACUUUUUUCAAGUAACUUGACCAACACUGACCAUUAAUUGAAAGUCUAAAGCAGUUAAUGACUAAUGAGAGAAUGUUUACCAUGUUGAACACUGCACCACAAAGAAGCAGAGAGGGAUUCUUCUAUGAUUUUAGAGACGGGUCCCUCUUUACAUCUCACCCCUUGUUUUCUCAGAGGCCAAAUGCAUUGCAAUUAAUACUGUACACAGAUGAAAUUGAAAUAUGUAACCCCUUAGGGUCCCAUGCUUCUGCAAACAAAUUGGUGAUGUUUUAUUAUACUUUAGGAAAUAUUGAUCCAAAAUUUAGGUCAAAGUUAGCUGCAAUAUGACUUCUUGCUAUUGUUAAAGCAAAUGACAUUUCUCAAUGGGGUAUUGAUGUUGUACUGAAAAGAAUACUUCAAGAUCUGUCACUGCUUUACAAUGGUGUAAGGAUUGAAAUGUCAAAUGGUGAAAUUGAAUUGUUUGGUGCUGUUAUAGCCAUUUGCGGAGAAACGCUAGCCCAGCAUGAGAUUGCUGGCUUUAAAGAAGGGAUUGGUUUUGCUUAUAGCAAAUGUAGACACUGUGAAUGCAACUUUGAUGAUAUGCAAAGUGUUUUUGAGGAGAAGAAGUUUGUUCAAAGAACUCUGGAGAAACAUAUCAGGCAGUGUUUUGAAAUAGAUAAAGCAAGCACAGAUUUAUUGAAAGCGUCCCUCAAAACUACUUAUGGAAUUAAUAGAAGAAGCAGACUAGUUGACGUUCCUGCAUUUGACCUCAUCAAACAAACUCCCCAGGACAUAAUGCAUGUUAUUUUUGAAGGUGUUGCAUCAAUGGAAGUUAAAUUUGUAUUAAAACACCUAAUUCUCUCAGGGCAAUUGGAAUUAGACAAGUUUAAUUCAGACAUUCAAAAUUUUCCUUACUCACCUCUUGAAAUACGGGAUAAACCAUGUCCUAUUAGCUUUGGCACUUUAGCGGCUAACGACAACAAUUUGAAACAGUCUUGUGGACAGAUGCUAAUUCUUUUAAAAAUAUUACUUUUUCUUUUGUAUGGUGUGGAGAGUGAGUAUGUUGUAUUUAUUAGAAAGUUAAUUAUGAUAGUUCAAAUAGUUCUUGCUCCCAUUAUUUCUUUACAAACUGUAUUGCAACUGAGAAGUAUGAUUGAAGAACACCUGUAUCAGUUCAAGCGACUUUUUCCCGAAGCCAAUAUAAUACCUAAGCAACAUUAUAUGUUGCAUCUUCCCAGCCAAAUCUUAUCCCUUGGUCCUUGAAUAAGGAGUAUGUGCAUGCGCUUUGAGGCAAAGCACUCCUAUUUUAAACAGUGGGCUUCUAAGUUAAAUUUUAAAAAUGUUUGUAAAUCCCUAGCAAACCACAGUCAGUUUCUUGAGUGUUGUCAAAAUGAAAUGGGCACUGAACAUCCUAUUUUUGCAAAAGAAAAGGAAUCCGGGCCAGUAUCAGCUGUUAAAAAUAAUGAAUAUGUUAGGAAAAAAAUUAAAGAAUUUUUUGGAAUAGACGUCAUGCAGUCUGUUGUCUCAGUGAAAUGGUAUGUUCUAAAUGGCAAUAAAUACAUUACUGGGAAGUCCAUGAUUAUUGCAGAUGUGGAUGGCACUUUCCCUGUGUUUGGACUGAUAAAGGAUAUCUUUUUGAUUGACUCAUCUUUUAUUGCUUUUGAAUACCAACGCUAUGAAACUUUGAAUUUAAAUGAAGACUUACUGGCAUAUGAAGUAACUGUGCCCAUUGUUGCUCAAGCUACAUAAUUAGCCCAUGAGCUCAUUGAUUAUACUUCAUACUUUUCUAUUAGUUUUAGGGACAGUGUGUUUGUGCCAAUAAAAUACAGUCUUUCUGAUUUUAUUUCCCAUAGAAAUCACCCUUAAGAUUAGGGUUGCACCAAGUAUUGUCUUAGUGUAGUUUGCGAUGCUAUCAGUUGACAGUCAUUAAAUGUUCCCUAAACCAAUAUCAAUGUUGUACCACAUAAUGCUGGCAUGCUGGGACAAACAGCUCUCUUUGAAAUGUGAUUUGUAUCAUAAAUUGUGGUUAAUUUUUUUCCCUUAUAUGUACAAAUUUGAAGUCAGACAUGAUUUUGAAUAAAUCAUAUUUUCAACAGAUGCCUUGUGUGAAUUUCCUAAAUCAAGCAAAUUAGGUUUGUCACUGCAUCUUGAAACAAGUGAUAUUUUGAGAGACAUUUGGUGAGAGACCUAAUGUAGGCUAUUUUAAGAGUUAUUCUUCCCAUUUCUGGAUUUCUGUACUAAUAUAGACACAAUUAUAUGGUUAUUCUCGGUUUAAGUUUAUUAUCUAAAAUCCAGACUUAGAAACAAGUAAAUCUUUUUUUAAAACAAGGCAAAUUAACUGGCCUGUCUAAAAAUAAGAUUUUAAAUCAUGGCAAGCACCAGAUAAUUUGCAGUGUGGGCGCUUGGAGUCAGUUGUUGGACCAUACAAGUUAUUUGAUUCCUCUUUUCGAACACUGCAGGGGUCACGGUGGCUUUCUGAUGAGGUCAUUGAUGCAUACCUGCACCGUGUCAUUGAGAGACGAAAGAAUGCUGUACACCUGCUCUGUUCAGUAGUUGCAAGCUCGUUGUUUUCUGGGCAGUUCAGAUGCCACACCAAGAUGAAGUUCCCAGUUGAAGACAUGUGGCUGUGCCCUGUAAACUUUGGUACACACUGGAUUCUUGUGGUAUGUGUUCAUUUAGUUAUUCAUUUGCGUAAUUUGUUGUGAAGCAGUUUCUUGCUCAAAGUGUUAUUCUUAAAUAGGUUUUCAGUGGCAAAAACUAUUGUAAUUUUUAAUUUAUUAACUUUUUCUUUAGAUUGUCAACAUUUCUGCACAGAAAAUACUGCUCAUAGACCCCAUGGGGAAUGAAGGUGUUUAUGACAGGAAAAUUAGGGUUAGGGUAAUAAAAUGUUAUGGUCACCGGUAUCAAACGCUGCACUUAGGUCUAGCGGGGAAGAUUUCAACAUUUCAAUAUGAAUGAAGGCUGAAAACUGCUUAGAUUAAUGUCUGGUGAUCUUUUCUCUGCUUCUUCAAGUUUGUAACACUGAACAUAUUAAAGGAUGAUUUAAGGUUCACAGGAACAGUUUAAUUAGACACACGUUUACUAUUUUUCUUUAUACUCUUUCUUUCUUUCAUCACUGACAUGUUCAAUAUGAUUACUAUCAGAGGAGAAAAUAAACCCUGUGUAGUUUAAAAUCUUUAAUUUAAUCAAACUGAAAUGUUGAUGAACUCUGCUGCCAUUUAUCAUCUUGUAAAAUGUUCCCUCUGCUUCUGUUGUACAUCUCCCCUGACACUCUCUUCUUCACCUCUCCUGUGCAGAUGGUCCAACCCCUGCCUCCUUAAACUGAUGUGUUUCAAUCUCUUUACCUCUGUUGUGAACUUCACACAAAGUUUGUGGUAACAAAAUCAAACUGACGAACAUCUUGUUUGAAAAACACACUCGCAAGACAAAAUAAAACCAGACUGCUCAAAGUAAAAGCAGAGCCCUCACAGCUGGUAGUACAAAACACAGUAACAACGUGCGUAUUAGAUACCCUCAGUCCCAAAAGCAUAAAUAUAAAAAAUGUGAACAGAUGAAAACAGUGAAAAAACAAAAAGCAGCCAAAUUUUCAUCUGAAAAUGUUGAUUUUUAGUAAAAACAAUGCUCUGUAGUUUCAUACUGUCGUUACAGACAAAGCGGAUGUUUAAAGCCUUUGGACGCACAUUUGAAAUGCCAUAAGUCUCCUUAUCAGCUGGAAAUAUUCAAGCCAUAAAAUGACUUUUGAGAGUGGCUAAAAACUACUGAACAACAGCAAUGCUGAACCUGUUCCAAAAUUUGAAUGUACAUGUGUUGAAGGUGUGGCUCUUGUUGAAUUGUUAAACAUACUUUCUUUAAUUUUUCGAGCCACAAAAACCAAAACUUUUAAUUUUCUUCCGCUUGAAUAUUGGCCUCGGGUAGCUCUACUCAUCAUUGCUGAGUCAGUUGUCUGUUUGUGCUACUUUUUCAAGCAGCAGUCGAUUAUUGGUAAGGGUGACUUUAUGUGUUUAGUUACUUAAGUGGAAAGUUUUACGUUACAUCAAUCAAUCAAUCAAUCAAUCAAUCUUUAUUUAUAAAGCACUUUUCAUACAAACUGUAGCACAAAGUGCUUUACAUGGUUAAAAGCAGCCCACCCCACCCUCCCACUCAUUCCCCGCACUGUCAUUAACAGAAGCGGUCAUGAUACACACA
Long non-coding RNA from Oreochromis niloticus (Nile tilapia), 4211 nucleotides. RefSeq lists it as uncharacterized. The transcript is spliced from 4 exons. NCBI's taxonomy places the organism in Eukaryota, Metazoa, Chordata, Actinopteri, Cichliformes, Cichlidae. The record is from RefSeq and is a predicted model, not a curated record.